Columba livia (rock pigeon) is the source of this 281-nucleotide long non-coding RNA. RefSeq lists it as uncharacterized. Lineage: Eukaryota; Metazoa; Chordata; Aves; Columbiformes; Columbidae. The record is from RefSeq and is a predicted model, not a curated record. The transcript has 3 exons.
GCCCGAACCUGCCCCGCAGCUGUUCUGCGGUCCCAGCUGAGGCACGGGAGCGAGGCCCAGCGUGUGGCAACCCUGAGCCUGCUGGGAGAGCUGGCCCGCUCUGACGCUCCUGUAGCAAGGAAGAAGCUGCCCCAGGUGGUGGCAGCUGUGCAGCUGGUGUGCAACGACCCCAGCGCCCAGGUGCGGAGGGCAGUUCUGGAGUUCAUCUGGGAAUUGCUCAGCUCCGGCUCCCAGAGCUGCUGGCCACGGGAUGUGGUGGGGCACAUCUUCAGCGAGUACAG